AGUAUUGCUGCUGAAAAUGGAAAUUCUGUAUAUAAGUGUAGUUGGCAACCACUUGUGAGGUGUGGAUAGCUCUGGGGGCAAAACGUCAAAUUUGUUCCAUGGCUUACACUUUUGCCCAUUAAUAGUUGCUUCAAUGACUAGAUCUGAGUCAAGCCUUUAAGGCAAUAAGAUCAGUGUUCCACCUAGGAGUUUGACCCUUAACACAUUUUGAGUCAAGAUUUUUGACCACUUCUAAAGACUGUUGUGUAGUAUCACAUUUGAAUGAAUGGGGAAGUGUUGACCUUUGUUUAGGUUUUGGAAUCUUCACUUUCUUGUUGGUUUGACCUGUUGUGAUGUUUGUCAUACCAGCACAGCAGAUGUAGAAAAUAUCAAAUCAGACAGCGAUAUUAAAGAGUAUUGGUGAUUGUGUACUGAUCAAAAUGUGCAUCAUGAUGCCACUUUGAACCUUGUUGCUUUCCUUGCUCAGCUUGGUUUUUAGUUGGCCCUUAAUUUGCAUUUCCUGAUUCAUUGAACAUAAAGAGGAACCAUUAUCUUAAUUACCAUCUCCUCUAAUUAAGAAAUACUGUUUUAGUGACAUUGAUCACUGAAGUCCCUGGUUGUAUUGGCAUAGGUAGUGGCUGUAGUUGGACAUAAGAAACUGUUGGUAACCCCACAUUACCAGCAGUUUUGUUAUAUGCACUGAACCCCAUUUUAUAAUUGCAUGUUCCUACAAAUAAAAACGUGGAUCUGAAUUUGAGUGUCCUUUUUCCUUGUCCCAUUUAAUGUUAGACUAUCAGGAUGUUUUCUCCUUGGUCUGCAGAUGGUUUAUAAUGAAAUCUGACCACCGUGAAAUGAUGCAUUUCUUUUUGUAGCUCACCUUUUUGUGUGUGUGAAAAGGUUGACAUGCCAACAGGAUCUGUUAAUUUCCAAUUUAAUGUGGCAUCAUGUGGCUACUUUAAAGUUUUGAGUUUUAAAUGGACCCAGUUUUGUACCCAACAUGGUAACAUUGGUGGUGAUUCUUAUUCAGUAAUGGUGCUUGGUGUUUGUCAUUUGUACUGUCAGUAGAAAUGCAAAUCUGUUCAGUUGGCUAUAUACAACUGCUUGUUUUGAGCUCCUGAAUUCAAGUGCAAGCAAGGGUAACAUCUUGACUUUCUUUCCUACAGCAGGAAAUGCUUAUUCUUCUGGUAGACAGAGCGGUUAUUCAGUGCUGUCAGUAAGGAGCUUUUCUUCUAAACAGUACCAUCAAACCUGGCAUCCAGAAUGCAAGCACAAAUCUAAACAUACAAGGGGAUGGAAUGACUAUAGGACUGGUUUCCCGAGAUAUCCUUCCCAGGACCAUUCCUUUUUUCAAACCUUCAAUGGUGGCUGGCCAGUCAGAAGUGCCUCUCCUGCCCUAACUGAUAGCAGUAUGACCACCGAUGGGAAUGAUGAUGACACAGCCAGUGUCCUCAGCUGGGCUGAUCGCUGUGGUAAAUGUUACAGUUAAGGAGUGGCAUGACUCCCUGCCCCCAUCACUUGGUUCCAACUGAAUCCCUUUUAAAUGAAGGAGUUGUUGAUUUUUUUUUUUCAUUGCAGUAGGGAAUGUAAGAAUACUUUUUUGUAAAUAGUCCCUGAGCAUUUCUUGUUCCUACUGGGGGAUAUUUUCCCUUGGCUGGCUCACUUUAGCUGCGUGUGCAGCUAUUUGCGCUCCAUGAACUUGCUUAGCCAGCAAUCUGUCUGUGAGUUCUUUCCAAGCAUGGCUGAAACCAAUGUCCUCAUGUUGUAGAAAUGAGAUAUAGUACUUUUUUUUUACAGGAACAUAGAGUAAAUGCUUAACUAGAGUAAGCACUUAACAGAAGAUGCAGAAUCUGGAUGCAAGACAUUUUAAGAUGGUAGAAAUAUCACCUUGUCUGGUGCCAUAAACAAGGCUGGGUCUCUUGAACCUGAGAUGACUUGUAAAUGGUGAAACUCCCUUCUGACCUGGCAUGGCCCCAGUUGUUGGGCUGGUACUGGAAAGAAAAUACAAGUUAAAGAAGAAGAUGUGCGAUACCCUUCCUUAGUGUAGUGACUGGGAACACUGAUGUUGGAAUGCUAUCCUUGGGAUGAGACCUUAAACAAGUCUUGCCUAAUGGGCUGAUAAAGAUCUAUGACACUGUCUGUGGAGGGGAACUUUUGUCUGUGGCAGUUAAAUUUAUGACUGGAAUGCAUUAGACUUAAAAUUCAGGUUCUUGAAUCAGUGGGGUGUAGUAGCUUCAUUACUGUGCAGCAAAACCUGCUGAAAGUGAUCACAUAUUGGCCAUUGAAUAGGUAGUCAGUCCUACAGAUGUGAUAUUGAAGUUGUGCACCAGAGAAAUGUCACUGGUACACUUGAGACUGUUUGGAUUUGAAUCGAAAUUGGUCAUCCAUCACUAUACGUACUGGCUGUUCUGUUUGCUUUUAAUUCAUGGCUUCCUUAAUUUGAACAUCUUGCAACAUGUGAAAUGAUAUCAUGAUCUAAAUAAGGGGUUGGUAAAACUUCAGCCUUUUGGGCAAAUCAAAUGCCCUGCCUGCACAUUAAUUAUUCAGGAUAAUUUUCCAGCAAAGUGUGCUGACCCCUGCAAACACAACAAUACAAUUAAAAAAUGGGAAUCUGGACUUUUUAGAUUGAUAGGAUCAUAAGCGUCUUAGCUUCUUGAACGGAGAAGCUUAGUGACUCAAUGUGGAACCCACCCAUAUUUUUCUUUUGUAGUCUUGAUGUACUUUUUGUAAUGCUUUGCUAUGCGCUGGAAUCCCAUGUUGGCUUGUUUUUGCAUUUAUUUUUAUGGUCACCAAAAUCUUAGUAGGCUUAGUAGAUCUGCUGGGUUGAAAAUGAUAUCCCCCUGUAGUCUCGGGUUUUCUAGAGUUUCCUGCGAGGUAGUUUUUGAGAUUUGAUCUACUGAGAUUUUUAAAAUGGCCUUUUGAUUUACGUUACAGAAAACUUUGGGUUUACUGUUCAUUCUGCAAAAUGAUUAACUUAAACCUUUCUUGUAGUAAUGAGACUAAUGCUGUGGUUAUGGUUGUAAUGUGGAGUCCUGUAUGUCUAAAUUGGACUUUAUCACGUGUGGAAAGUUUUCUUGCAGCUGCACGGAUUUCUUGGUCUAAGCAAAGUAUGUACUAAUCUUUAUUUU
Non-coding RNA from Lepisosteus oculatus (spotted gar), 3104 nucleotides. NCBI's taxonomy places the organism in Eukaryota, Metazoa, Chordata, Actinopteri, Semionotiformes, Lepisosteidae. The record is from RefSeq and is a predicted model, not a curated record.